Molecule: transfer RNA, 73 nt
Filed under: Phycisphaerae bacterium
Lineage: Bacteria; Pseudomonadati; Planctomycetota; Phycisphaerae
Also listed under: 3 other names
Description: tRNA-Lys
Rfam family: tRNA
About the family: Transfer RNA (tRNA) molecules are approximately 80 nucleotides in length.
Source: RNAcentral
GCACCAGUAGCUCAGUUGGUAGAGCAGCUGACUCUUAAUCAGCGGGUCCUAGGUUCGAGCCCUAGCUGGUGCA